CAAUAGCGUAUAUUAAAGUUGUUGCAGUUAAAAAGCUCGUAGUUGGAUUUGUGGUGUACUUCGGCGGCCCGUCACUAUGUGAUGGAGCUUGCUGAAGUCGCCAUCCUUGGGUGGAUCCUGUGUGGCAUUAAGUUGUCGUGCAGGGGUUGCCCAUCGUUUACUGUGAAAAAAUUAGAGUGUUCAAAGCAGGCUUAUGCCGUUGAAUAUAUUAGCAUGGAAUAAUAAGAUAGGACCUUGGUACUAUUUUGUUGGUUUGCGCACCAAGGUAAUGAUUAAUAGGGACAGUUGGGGGUAUUCGUAUUUCAUUGUCAGAGGUGAAAUUCUUGGAUUUUUGAAAGACGAACUACUGCGAAAGCAUUUACCAAGGAUGUUUUCAUUAA
RNAcentral lists this ribosomal RNA (380 nucleotides) under uncultured eukaryote. RNAcentral describes it as "partial 18S ribosomal RNA". It matches the Rfam family "Eukaryotic small subunit ribosomal RNA", at positions 592 to 976 of the family's 1831-position model. The record is from RNAcentral.